RNAcentral lists this ribosomal RNA (379 nucleotides) under uncultured bacterium. RNAcentral's name for it is "bacterial SSU rRNA". It matches the Rfam family "Bacterial small subunit ribosomal RNA", at positions 362 to 758 of the family's 1533-position model. The record is from RNAcentral.
UAUUGGACAAUGGGGGAAACCCUGAUCCAGCAAUGCCGCGUGAAUGGUGAAGGCCCCCGGCUUGUAAAGUUCUUUCACCUGUGAAGAUAAUGACGGUAGCAGGAGAAGAAGCCCCGGCUAACUCCGUGCCAGCAGCCGCGGUAAGACGGAGGGGGCUAGCGUUGUUCGGAAUGACUGGGCGUAAAGGGCGCGUAGGCGGUUUUUUAAGUGAGGCGUGAAAGCCCUGGGCUUAACCCAGGAGGUGCGUUUCAUACUGGAAGACUUGAGUACGAGAGAGGAAAGCGGAAUUCCUAGUGUAGAGGUGAAAUUCGUAGAUAUUAGGAAGAACACCAGUGGCGAAGGCGGCUUUCUGCUAUGUAACUGACGCUGAGGCGCGAAA